This 70-nucleotide transfer RNA is filed under the name Stylochoplana maculata. RNAcentral describes it as "tRNA-Asn". Lineage: Eukaryota; Metazoa; Platyhelminthes; Polycladida; Leptoplanidae. The record is from RNAcentral.
UAGAAGGUAGUAUAAAAAUUAUUAUAUAAAGCUGUUAACUUUAUGAUGUGAUCUAAAACCACCCUACUAG